UGACGGUACCUACAGAAGAAGCACCGGCUAACUAUGUGCCAGCAGCCGCGGUAAUACAUAGGGUGCAAGCGUUGUCCGGAAUUAUUGGGCGUAAAGAGCUCGUAGGUGGUUUGAUACGUCGGGUGUGAAAUUCAGGGGCUCAACCCCUGACCUGCAUUCGAUACGGUCAAGCUAGAGUUUGGUAGGGGAGACUGGAAUUCCUGGUGUAGCGGUGGAAUGCGCAGAUAUCAGGAGGAACACCAAUGGCGAAGGCAGGUCUCUGGGCCAAUACUGACACUGAGGAGCGAAAGUCUGGGGAGCGAACAGGAUUAGAUACCCUGGUAGUCCAGACCGUAAACGGUGGGCACUAGUUGUGGGAACCUUCCACGGUUUCUGCGACGCAGCUAACGCAUUAAGUGCCCCGCCUGGGGAGUACGAUCGCAAGAUUAAAACUCAAAGGAAUUGACGGGGCCCCGCACAAGCAGCGGAGCAUGCGGCUUAAUUCGACGCAACGCGAAGAACCUUACCAAGGCUUGACAUAUAGGGGAAAAGUGGCAGAGAUGUCAUGUCCGCAAGGGCUCUAUACAGGUGGGUGCAUGGUUGUCGUCAGC
RNAcentral lists this ribosomal RNA (590 nucleotides) under uncultured bacterium. RNAcentral describes it as "bacterial SSU rRNA". It matches the Rfam family "Bacterial small subunit ribosomal RNA", at positions 470 to 1059 of the family's 1533-position model. The record is from RNAcentral.